Orcinus orca (killer whale) is the source of this 1062-nucleotide long non-coding RNA. RefSeq lists it as uncharacterized. NCBI's taxonomy places the organism in Eukaryota, Metazoa, Chordata, Mammalia, Artiodactyla, Delphinidae. The transcript has 2 exons. The record is from RefSeq and is a predicted model, not a curated record.
AAUACCUUGUCCUUGUAAAUCACCUUGGCUGAUUUUUUGAUAUUUGCCCUCUGGCACCAAGCACAGUGGUGUGAAAGACACUCUUAAAACUCUCUGCACUCUCCCUUCAGACCUGAGAAGCUGGGUCCUUGCGUGAUCAGCCUUCCCACUUGGUCAGGAAACAAGAUAGUCUCUCUUUUCCUGCCCUUCUCAAAGAGGAAACACCCCCAAGAGCAACCGCAAGGAGUUUUUGCAAGCAUACACAACUCUUUGUGGGAAAGAAGAACGUCAGGGUGAACCACACCCACCCAAGAAAACAACACUCAGCGGAUACUGAUGGAAUAAAGCCAUAAUACUGUUUUGAGCAACUGACAUUUUCAGAGCACAGGCUCCGGACACGCAGGCUCAGCGGCCAUGGCUCACGGGCCCAGCCGCUCCGCGGCAUGUGGGAUCUUCCCGGACCAGGGCACGAACCCGUGUCCCCUGCAUCGGCAGGCGGACUCUCAACCACAGCGCCACCAGAGAAGCCCCAUAAUUAUUUAAAAAUAAGAAUAAUUAGUUAAUUGAGAUGUAUAGUAUUUUCUUAGGUCCUAGGCCAUCAUCUCAAUAUAUAUCUCGUGAGCAUGAGUAAAGCAGAAAAAUAUAAUCAAAAUAGAGCUUUGAAAGAGAUGGUUUAAGACAAAGAGAAACUUAAUUGACUUUAACAAGUUUUCAACCCAAUAGUGUAAAAAUCAGCUGUGGAGUUUACUAAAAGUUCAGAUGGCUGGACCAGUGCUUGCAAAUUCUGUUUACUUGGGUAAAUGUGCAGCAGAGAUACUGGAAAAAAACAAACAAAAAAACACAACAUGUCCACAGCCAGAUGCUAAAAGCUCUGAGCUAGUUAAUAGAAUAUCUAUGUUUAGGAUAGAUUACUUCCAUUUGAAAUAAUCUUGUGACUCAGCUGGAAACAAUCUAUCCUAAACAUAGAAAAAAUGGAUUAUCCAGCCAAAAAUAGUUAAGGAUAAUUGGGGCCAGGAAUUCUCUUUAUUUUUGUUAUUCCCAUCAAUUCCAAGGGAAAUAAAGCACCAAAGAGGACAAACGGAA